CCAGACUCCUACGGGAGGCAGCAGUGGGGAAUAUUGCACAAUGGGGGAAACCCUGAUGCAGCAACGCCGCGUGAAGGAAGACGGUUUUCGGAUUGUAAACUUCUGUUCUUAGUGAAGAAGAAUGACGGUAGCUAAGGAGCAAGCCACGGCUAACUACGUGCCAGCAGCCGCGGUAAUACGUAGGUGGCAAGCGUUGUCCGGAAUUACUGGGUGUAAAGGGAGCGUAGGCGGUAAGGCAAGUCUGAUGUGAAAGGCCAGGGCUCAACCCUGGGACUGCAUUGGAAACUGUUUAACUGGAGUGUCGGAGAGGCAAGUGGAAUUCCUAGUGUAGCGGUGAAAUGCGUAGAUAUUAGGAAGAACACCAGUGGCGAAGGCGGCUUGCUGGACAGUAACUGACGUUGAGGCUCGAAAGCGUGGGGAGCAAACAGGAUUAGAUACCCCAGUAC
RNAcentral lists this ribosomal RNA (446 nucleotides) under uncultured bacterium. Its description in RNAcentral is "bacterial SSU rRNA". It matches the Rfam family "Bacterial small subunit ribosomal RNA", at positions 331 to 793 of the family's 1533-position model. The record is from RNAcentral.